AGCAAUCCCGACGCAAGAAGGGGUGUGUUUAUUAGAUCGCAAACAAGUUUAGGGUAGUGUCCUCACAGACGGGUAACGGGGAAUUAGGGUUCGACUCCGGAGAGGGGGCUACCACAUCCAAGGAAGGCAGCAGGCGCGCAAAUUACCCAAUCCCGACACGGGGAAGUAGUGACAAGAAAUACCGAUACAGGGCCUCUUUCGGUCUUGUGAUUGGAAUGAGUACAAUUUAAAUCCAUUAAAGCAUACAUUAAAGUUGUUGCAGUUAAAACGCCCGUAGUUGAAACUCGGGCCUGGCCCGCCGGUCCGCCUCACCGCGUGCACUGGUUGGGCCGGGUCUUUCUCCCUGGAAAUCCGCAUGGCCUUCACUGGCUGUGCCGGGGGACCAGGACUGUUACUGUGAAAAAAUCAGAGUGUUCAAAGCAGGCCUUUGCUCGCCUUAGCAUGGAAUAAUUGGUUUUCGCGACCGUCGUAAUGAUUAAUGAAAGCAUUUGCCAUGGAUGUUUUCAGAAAGGGGAU
RNAcentral lists this ribosomal RNA (516 nucleotides) under Botryandromyces ornatus. Its description in RNAcentral is "bacterial SSU rRNA". It matches the Rfam family "Eukaryotic small subunit ribosomal RNA", at positions 245 to 878 of the family's 1831-position model. The record is from RNAcentral. Lineage: Eukaryota; Fungi; Ascomycota; Laboulbeniomycetes; Laboulbeniales; Laboulbeniaceae.